Long non-coding RNA from Cyprinus carpio (common carp), 1311 nucleotides. The record is from Ensembl. NCBI's taxonomy places the organism in Eukaryota, Metazoa, Chordata, Actinopteri, Cypriniformes, Cyprinidae.
UUUUUCAACGAAUUUUCAUUUUUUACAACUUUUACUCAAAUGUACUGAUAACUUGUGUUUCAUUGUCAACAUCUUAUGUUUGAACCGCUUAAAAUAUAUUGUGAUUGUGAUUUCAGUGUCCAAAUGUAUACAGUAUUGAAACUGUUUCUUUGUAAACUUUUUUUACAAAGAGAAAAAAACAAUGUCAUGAAUCCGCGGGUGGGAUAAAGUGGAGCAUCUUCUCUCACUGCACACAGUUCUGCAGCUUUCCAUUGAUCUACUGCCUAGAACCUGAACCCCGGGGCUGCAGGGUGCCAGGGGACUUAUAGAUUGCCUUCAAAAAUAGCCUGUCCGGAGGGGAGGAGGACAGCAUAAAGGGUGGAGAGAGAGUCUGGCAACGAGAGAAUCCUCCCUCCCCAGGCAGGCCACCGAUAGCACCCCAGGUGUAUUUAUAGAUGAACGACAGCAAACCUGAACCUGGAUCAAUAGGCUCUGGGACGUUACACGAUCUGACCGCUGCAGGGCCGGAAACCUGGCUGAGAGUACAGGCCCCUGGGACGCAGAACAGGGAAAAACCUCAGGGCCUGUUGGAGAAAAAAGAAAAAAAAGUCAAGAUAAUAAGAGAGGAGUUGAAUAUGAUCAGUCUUCAGAGAGCAGAAGCGAGACUGAAAAACUGCAGGCGUUUGGUUUGGAUGAAGUCACUACAAAACCUUUAGGUAACACUAACAUGAAUCGAUAAUAUUACAAUUAAAUUUGAAAGAAAAAAAUAUAACAUUACAGUUCAUUAUGAAUCCCUUUCACUCUUUUCCACACAUUCUUCUUCUCUUCUAUAUGUUUUGAUCCACAAUCGGCCCUAGUACAGAAAUGUGGAUUAGGAAGCCUCCUCUGAACACUAGCUGACAGAUGCUAGUUUACUCAUUUCAGAACAUGCUAUCGAUUGAGGUCAUUUACAGUGAGAUGUUUAUCUGAGCUGAAUAUUGACAGAUCCUCGUCAUUUUCACCUGUGCAGCAUGACAGACAUUCAGUCAGCACAGAGGAUGAUUGUAGUGUUAAUGCAGGGACUCUGCACUGCAUUAUGGGUGGAGUGAUAGUGAAGAGAUAAAGCGGCUGUAUAUGUGGAUAUGAAAUGCCACAUGACUUAUGUUCAUGACACUAUGGCUGUUGUGAAUCUCCUGAGAGUUGUGUUUCAGCUGAAUUCAGGUCGCAGCACUGGUUUCCUUCACAAAGAAGGCAAUCCCGGCAAGCUCUAAAAUAUUUAAUGAGUUGGAUAUGUGAAUGGAUAUGCAUAUGCAUAUGAACAGUAUAAAAAUAAACAACCAUGUAAACUAAUCA